UCCCCCUGGCAGUGAGCAAAGAGAUAUCUUGGUGGUGGCGUUCAUGUAUCAGCCAGGGGCAGAGCAGAUGGCAGCCCUCUGUUUGUCUUAACUUGAUGCCUGGCUUGGUGGCCAAAGCUGUUUUAUGCCUAGGACUCAUAA
Small nucleolar RNA from Psammomys obesus (fat sand rat), 141 nucleotides. RefSeq annotates it as small nucleolar RNA SNORA48. Lineage: Eukaryota; Metazoa; Chordata; Mammalia; Rodentia; Muridae. The record is from RefSeq and is a predicted model, not a curated record. The transcript has a single exon.